GCAGCAGCGCGGUAAAACGGAGGGCGCGAGCGUUACCCGGAUUUACUGGGCGUAAAGGGCGUGUAGGCGGCCUGGGGCGUCCCAUGUGAAAGGCCACGGCUCAACCGUGGAGGAGCGUGGGAUACGCUCAGGCUAGAGGGUGGGAGAGGGUGGUGGAACUCCCGGAGUAGCGGUGAAAUGCGCAGAUACCGGGAGGAACGCCGAUGGCGAAGGCAGCCACCUGGUCCACUUCUGACGCUGAGGCGCGAAAGCGUGGGGAGCAAACCGGAUUAGAGACCCCAGUAGUCCCUGUCUCUUAUACA
This 302-nucleotide ribosomal RNA is filed under the name uncultured bacterium. Its description in RNAcentral is "partial 16S ribosomal RNA". It matches the Rfam family "Bacterial small subunit ribosomal RNA", at positions 508 to 808 of the family's 1533-position model. The record is from RNAcentral.